AUGAACGCUGGCGGCGUGCCUAAUACAUGCAAGUCGAACGCAUAGCGAAAGGUGCUUGCCCCUUUCAAGUGAGUGGCGAACGGGUGAGUAACACGUGGACAACCUGCCUCAAGGCUGGGGAUAACAUUUGGAAACAGAUGCUAAUACCGAAUAAAACUUAGUGUCGCAUGACACAAAGUUAAAAGGCGCUUCGGCGUCACCUAGAGAUGGAUCCGCGGUGCAUUAGUUAGUUGGUGGGGUAAAGGCCUACCAAGACAAUGAUGCAUAGCCGAGUUGAGAGACUGAUCGGCCACAUUGGGACUGAGACACGGCCCAAACUCCUACGGGAGGCUGCAGUAGGGAAUCUUCCACAAUGGGCGAAAGCCUGAUGGAGCAACGCCGCGUGUGUGAUGAAGGCUUUCGGGUCGUAAAGCACUGUUGUAUGGGAAGAACAGCUAGAAUAGGAAAUGAUUUUAGUUUGACGGUACCAUACCAGAAAGGGACGGCUAAAUACGUG
RNAcentral lists this ribosomal RNA (496 nucleotides) under uncultured bacterium. Its description in RNAcentral is "partial 16S ribosomal RNA". It matches the Rfam family "Bacterial small subunit ribosomal RNA", at positions 29 to 507 of the family's 1533-position model. The record is from RNAcentral.